RNAcentral lists this ribosomal RNA (635 nucleotides) under Ceratoperidinium margalefii. RNAcentral describes it as "eukaryotic LSU rRNA". It matches the Rfam family "Eukaryotic large subunit ribosomal RNA", at positions 72 to 663 of the family's 3401-position model. Lineage: Eukaryota; Dinophyceae; Gymnodiniales; Ceratoperidiniaeceae. The record is from RNAcentral.
GGAUUCCCUAAGUAAUGGCGAAUGAACAGGGAAGAGCUCAGAAUGAAAAUCGGGGCCUAUGGCUUUGAAUUGUAGUCUUGAGAUGUACUGCCAGCGGAGGCGCAGAUGUAAGCCUCUUGGAAAAGAGCAUCAACGAGGGUGAGAGUCCCGUUUGUCAUCUGCAGCCCCCCGUGUACGGUGCAUGUUCUGAGAGUCACGUUCCUCGGGAUUGGAGCGCAAAUUGGGUGGUAAAUUUCAUCUGAAGCUAAAUAUUGGUUCGAGACCGAUAGCAAACAAGUACCAUGAGGGAAAGGUGAAAAGGACUUUGAAAAGAGAGUUAAAAGUGCCUGAAAUUGCUGAAAGGGAAGCGAAUGGAACCAGCUUUGCUUGGCGAGAUUGUUGCUUGCUAUGGUUAUGGCUUGCUAUGGGUAACGCAAGUGCCCUAGCUUGCUUUCAACUUGAUGCAUGCGGUGGUUCUUGCCUUGUGUGUCAGCGCUGGUGCAGACCUGAUGAAAACUGCAGGGACAAGGUAGCUCGUCUCCGGGUGAGUGAAUGUCUCUGUCGGAAAUCACGUGUGCACUGGAUUUGGCGUGCCUCUUUUGGUGAGCCACAAGAUUGAUGACUAAAUGGUUCUAUCCGACCCGUCUUGAAACACG